AAAGUCGUAACAAGGUUUCCGUAGGUGAACCUGCGGAAGGAUCAUUAUCGUAGGGCUUCGGCCCUGUCGAGAUAGAACCCUUGCCUUUUUGAGUACCUUUUCGUUUCCUCGGCAGGCUCGCCUGCCAACGGGGACAACAACACACCCUGACAUCACCUGUAACCGUCUGAUAAAACAAACAAAAAUCAAAACUUUCAACAACGGAUCUCUUGGUUCUG
Molecule: unclassified non-coding RNA, 218 nt
Filed under: Ascomycota sp.
Lineage: Eukaryota; Fungi; Ascomycota
Description: partial contains small subunit ribosomal RNA, internal transcribed spacer 1, and 5.8S ribosomal RNA
Rfam family: Eukaryotic small subunit ribosomal RNA (bases 1-47)
Source: RNAcentral